AAUUAAUGAACUUGUAUAAGUGUAUAUUUUGAAAAUAUAAAAAAGAAGUAAAAUCCUCUAUUAAUUU
This 67-nucleotide transfer RNA is filed under the name Onthophagus obscurior. Its description in RNAcentral is "tRNA-Ser". Lineage: Eukaryota; Metazoa; Arthropoda; Insecta; Coleoptera; Scarabaeidae. The record is from RNAcentral.